RNAcentral lists this ribosomal RNA (489 nucleotides) under uncultured bacterium. Its description in RNAcentral is "partial 16S ribosomal RNA". It matches the Rfam family "Bacterial small subunit ribosomal RNA", at positions 28 to 507 of the family's 1533-position model. The record is from RNAcentral.
GAUGAACGCUCGCUACAGGCUUAACACAUGCAAGUCGAGGGGCAGCAUGAUUGAAGCUUGCUUCAAUCGAUGGCGACCGGCGCACGGGUGAGUAACACGUAUCCAACCUGCCGAUAACUCGGGGAUAGCCUUUCGAAAGAAAGAUUAAUACCCGAUAGUAUAGUAUUUCCGCAUGGUUUCACUAUUAAAGAACUUCGGUUAUCGAUGGGGAUGCGUUCCAUUAGAUAGUUGGCGGGGUAACGGCCCACCAAGUCAACGAUGGAUAGGGGUUCUGAGAGGAAGGUCCCCCACAUUGGAACUGAGACACGGUCCAAACUCCUACGGGAGGCAGCAGUGAGGAAUAUUGGUCAAUGGACGAGAGUCUGAACCAGCCAAGUAGCGUGAAGGAGGACUGCCCUAUGGGUUGUAAACUUCUUUUAUACGGGAAUAAAGUGGAGUAUGCAUACUCCUUUGUAUGUACCGUAUGAAUAAGGAUCGGCUAACUCCGUG